This is a long non-coding RNA of Astatotilapia calliptera (eastern happy), 1685 nucleotides long. NCBI's taxonomy places the organism in Eukaryota, Metazoa, Chordata, Actinopteri, Cichliformes, Cichlidae. The record is from Ensembl.
ACUCCCUCAGGUGUCGGUGCGUUGGUGGUUCUUUGUGUCUGGGGAUGGGCGUCCGGGUACACACCGGCUCACUCCUUGGCGGCCGCUUAUCGGGGCCUGGAGCCUGGGGCCACUUCGGAGGUGGGGUGCCCCCGGCCUCUCGGCCUGGGGCUCGGUCACUCAGGCACAGCUGGCUGCCGGCGGAGCUCACGGGCGCGUCACUGCAACACCCCCUGGCUUCUGCUCCGCGGCUGCUGAGUGAGCCCUCAUCUGGGACUCUCCUCAGCUCUUACUGGGACAGUGGCACGGCUGCCCCUCUGUUGGUCCUCCUUGGUCUCUUGUGUUCUGGGGGCCUCUGGAUGUCUGGAGUUUUGAUCUCCUCCAUACCUGCUUCAUACCCUGGAGGACGGGGCUGUGGCUCCCCACACUCCCUAGCAGAUCGUUACAUGGAGAAACCUUUGGAAUGCAAGCAUGCUGAUCCACACAGGUAUGCACACAGGUGUACACACGGGUAUUCACAGACGCGGACUACAGCUUUCUUGGCUGCUGCCUCAAAGCACAUUGUGCGCCGUCUAUCUUGCGUGCUGCAUAAUAUCGUUUAUUAUUUAGUAUCUACUGAUAUCUACUGCUAGCUAGUUUAUUGUGAUGGUGCCGUUUUUUUUAUUAUGUUGCUCUUUGUUGUUUGCUUUCUCUUCUGUUUUUUUUCUCCAUACAGGUGAUCCAGGUGUUUUGUUUUGUUUUUGUUUGGUUGUUUUUUUUUUUCUUUCUUCCCCCCCUUCUCACCGUCUCUUCUCCCCUUUGGUUUUCUUUCUCUCCCUCUCUUUCUUUCAUUCUUUCUCCCUGUCCUAUCCCCCAGUCAUGUCUGUCCCGUUUGUAGCAACUGAAAAUAAAAUAAAUUCAUAAUUAUAAUAAAGGUCAAUCAAAUGGACCAAUAUGGCAAGGCCAUGAUGAUCCACUUGGUAAAAUAAAUCCGCUUGGCAUCUUUCUUGGCCUUAAGACAACAAUUCUGAUGGCUAAAGAUCCAAACGGGAUACAAAAAAAAAGAAAAAAAAAAAAAGAAAAAAAAAGACCGUCCAGGGAUGGGAGGCCGGUAACAAAGUCAAGGCCGACAUGGGACCAGGGACGUCCCAGCACAGGGAGAGGGCGAAGGUCGCCAGCAGGAGGCUGAGUGGAGGACUUGGCCCGAGCACAGGUGUCACAGGCGGAAACGAAUUCACGGACGUCCCGAGUCAUGGAGGGCCACCAGAAGGCACGACGGAGAACUCCUCCGUCGUCCUGUCAGGCCCUAGGUGACCAGAGAGCGGGGAGGAGUGAGCCCAGAGCAAAGCCUCCUGACGGCACCGGGAUGGUACAUAGAGCCUCCCAGCAGGGGUGUCAGGCGGAGGUGGUUUGGCGGUCAGGCCAUCCCGGAUAGAGUCCUCCAAGGGCCACCGAAGGGGGGCAGCGAAGCAAUGAGAAGGUAGGAUAGGUCCAGGGUCUGACGUGAGGCCGUCCUGGGCGAACUGUCUGGAGAGAGCGUCUGCCUUAGCGUUCUUGGAACCAGGGCGGUAGGCGAGGUGGAAAUUGUAAGGCUCAAAGAAUAAGGCCCAACGGGCCUGCCUUGGGUUGAGCUGCUUGGCAGAACGAAUAUGGAUCAGGUUCUGAUGAUCAGUCCAGAUCAGAAAAGGGUCCUUCGCUCCCAGGAGCCAAUGCUGCCACUCUUCUAA